RNAcentral lists this microRNA precursor (68 nucleotides) under Mesocricetus auratus (golden hamster). RNAcentral's name for it is "miRNA (ENSMAUG00000005524.1)". Lineage: Eukaryota; Metazoa; Chordata; Mammalia; Rodentia; Cricetidae. The record is from RNAcentral.
UGUGCAUGGUAUGUAUGCAUGUGCUUGUGUGUGUUGUGUAUGGAUGCACACACCCAAGCAAACAUGCA